Molecule: ribosomal RNA, 253 nt
Filed under: uncultured bacterium
Lineage: Bacteria
Description: partial 16S ribosomal RNA
Rfam family: Bacterial small subunit ribosomal RNA
Source: RNAcentral
UACGCAGGGGGCGAGCGUUGUUCGGAAUCACUGGGCGUAAAGCGCACGCAGGCGGAUCGAUAAGUCGGGGGUGAAAGCCCGGGGCUCAACCUCGGAAUUGCCUUCGAUACUGUGUGUCUCGAGUCCGGGAGAGGUGAGUGGAAUUCCUAGUGUAGAGGUGAAGUUCGUAGAUAUUAGGAAGAACACCAGUGGCGAAGGCGGCUCACUGGCCCGGUACUGACGCUCAGGUGCGAAAGCGUGGGGAGCAAACAGG